Non-coding RNA from Leptonychotes weddellii (Weddell seal), 776 nucleotides. The record is from RefSeq and is a predicted model, not a curated record. NCBI's taxonomy places the organism in Eukaryota, Metazoa, Chordata, Mammalia, Carnivora, Phocidae.
CCUAUUCUAGAAAGGCUCAUGAAGUGAAGGCCCAGCUCUGUUCCAUCCUGCAGACCUUCCUCAGGAUGGCGGGAGGCUGUGAAGAACUCACAUGCUGCGUGUCAGACUGAGCUAUCCCUAUUUCAUACUAUAAGCCAAGACUCGCUACACUGUCCUGCUGAUGUUCACAGUCAUGCCUGGGAAGGAGGCAGCCCCAUUUCCAGCACAUUUCAGUGGGAGACCUUCACAUGUGCCCCCUGGAGACUCGGUGGGGCAGGGGAAGAAACUGUUAGGAGCGCACGGCGCCAAAGUCGCGUCUCCAUGUGUGAAUCAAUGUCACCUCGCUUUCCUCUCAGAGACCUCACUGUCCCACAGCGGGACCUGCCUGAAAAUUGAGGGGACGAGGGAGCCCCUCAGCCUCCUCCUUCUCCAGCACUCCGCUCCCAGGCACCGCGGCUCCUCCAGCAGCACAACUGCUGGGAGCUCAGAGCUGCUGCUGCCCUGCAUGUGUCCGCUCAGCCCUGUUGUCGGCGCCAUGAUGGUCUGCAGGAGGGACAUGGCAGCUUUCUGAAUGGAUUUUUCUCAAGGAAAGUGCCAGUGUGUGCAGUUCAUGAUAUUCCCCUAUCCUUGCCGUUACUGUCACUUGGCUUUUUCUCAAUAGGCUUCAUCUUUAUUUUUUUCUAAUGGGGAAGUUUUGCUCUCACCCCUGCAUCCUAUAUUUGGCUCCCCCUCCUCUACCCCUCCUAGAUACAGAAUUAUGAGAUUCUGACAAAAAAUAAGAAAAUCUUCUUCAGUAA